GACGAACGCUGGCGGCGUGCUUAACACAUGCAAGUCGAGCGGUAAGGCCCUUUCGGGGGUACGACGAGCGGCGAACGGGUGGAGUAACACGUGGGUGACCUGCCCUUACGCUCUGGGAUAAGCCUGGGAAACGUAGGGUCUAAUACCGGAUAUGACUCCAUGACGCAUGUUGUGGGGUGGAAAGCCUUGCGCGGCUAGGGAUGGGCCUGCGGCCUAUCAGCUUGUUGGUGGGGUGAGGCCUACCAAGGCGACGACGGGUAGCCGGCCUGAGAGGGCGACCGGCCACACUGGGACUGAGACACGGCCCAGACUCCUACGGGAGGCAGCAGUGGGGAAUCUUGCGCAAUGGGCGAAAGCCUGACGCAGCGACGCCGCGUGGGGAUGACGGCCU
RNAcentral lists this ribosomal RNA (391 nucleotides) under uncultured bacterium. RNAcentral describes it as "bacterial SSU rRNA". It matches the Rfam family "Bacterial small subunit ribosomal RNA", at positions 28 to 417 of the family's 1533-position model. The record is from RNAcentral.